UGGGGAAUCUUGGACAAUGGGCGCAAGCCUGAUCCAGCCAUGCCGCGUGGAUGAUGAAGGCCUUAGGGUUGUAAAAUCCUUUCGUUGGGGACGAUAAUGACGGUACCCAAAGAAGAAGCUCCGGCUAACUUCGUGCCAGCAGCCGCGGUAAUACGAAGGGGGCUAGCGUUGUUCGGAUUUACUGGGCGUAAAGCGCGUGUAGGCGGAUUUGUAAGUUGGGGGUGAAAUCCCGAGGCUCAACCUCGGAACUGCCUCCAAAACUACAAGUCUGGACCUAAGUAGAGGCAAGUGGAAUUGCGAGUGUAGAGGUGAAAUUCGUAGAUAUUCGCAGGAACACCAGUGGCGAAGGCGACUUGCUGGACUUAUGGUGACGCUGAGACGCGAAAGCGUGGGGAGCAAACAGGAUUAGAUACCCCGGUAGUCCCUGAGCGGGCUGGCAAGGCGCAU
Molecule: ribosomal RNA, 447 nt
Filed under: uncultured bacterium
Lineage: Bacteria
Description: bacterial SSU rRNA
Rfam family: Bacterial small subunit ribosomal RNA
Source: RNAcentral